RNAcentral lists this ribosomal RNA (492 nucleotides) under uncultured bacterium. RNAcentral describes it as "bacterial SSU rRNA". It matches the Rfam family "Bacterial small subunit ribosomal RNA", at positions 32 to 508 of the family's 1533-position model. The record is from RNAcentral.
AAUCAACGCUGGCGGCGUGCCUAACACAUGCAAGUCGAACGCGGUUACUCCCGCAAGGGAGUAACUGAGUGGCGAACGGGUGAGUAACACGUGGGUGACCUACCUUCGAGUGGGGGAUAACGUCCCGAAAGGGACGCUAAUACCGCAUGACAUCCUGCCUUUGAACAGGCGGAGAUCAAAGCCGGGGAUCGCAAGACCUGGCGCUCGUUGAGGGGCCCGCGCCCGAUUAGCUAGUUGGUGAGGUAACGGCUCACCAAGGCGACGAUCGGUAGCCGGUUGAGAGGGCGGACGGCCACACUGGGACUGAGACACGGCCCAGACUCCUACGGGAGGCAGCAGUAAGGAAUAUUGCUCAAUGGGAGAAAUCCUGAAGCAGCAACGCCGCGUGAGGGAUGAAGGGCUUUUGCUUGUAAACCUCUGUAGCGAGAGAAAAAAACUCCAUUUUAUGGAGCAUGAUGGUAUCUCGAAAGUAAGCCCCGGCUAAUUACGUGC